UUUAGCCCAGGAGGACAGGGUUUGCUGUCAAAGGCUGUCAGUCACCCUGGGCUCUCUGUCAUCUCGCAGCCCUGAUGCACAGAGGGGAAAUGGGCCCGGCUCCCCCACCCUGGCUCGCUGCAGGCCCUUGGCACCCAGCCAGAGCCCACAACUUGUUCACAGCUUUUUGGAAGUCCUGCGUUCUUCCUCUCUGUUCUGCCAGCUGAGACAAUUCCGCUCUCCUGCAUCUGGUCUCUGGCCUGGGCCCAGGCCACCCCACUGCUGUUCGGGCUGCAAGAUGGGACACCUGCCCAGGGGCAGCACCAUGGCAGGUGAGGUAGGCCCUCCCACAUCAAUCAUUAAUCAAGAAAAUGCCCCACAAACGUGCCUACAGGCCAAUCUGAUGGAGGCAUCUUCUCAAUCAAGAAUUCCUCUUUCCAGGAAUUGAUUCCAAAGAUACGCUGGCAAAAACAAACCACUCGCAUGAAGCUGCCGUGGCCGGGCUCUCUGCAGUGUGAAAACUUGAAGGGCCAUUAGUAGGGGAGGUUUGUCCAGGAGGGAAGGGGGGCUCAACAUCAG
Molecule: long non-coding RNA, 558 nt
Organism: Peromyscus leucopus (white-footed mouse)
Lineage: Eukaryota; Metazoa; Chordata; Mammalia; Rodentia; Cricetidae
Exons: 3
Source: RefSeq, a predicted model, not a curated record